RNAcentral lists this ribosomal RNA (253 nucleotides) under uncultured bacterium. RNAcentral describes it as "partial 16S ribosomal RNA". It matches the Rfam family "Bacterial small subunit ribosomal RNA", at positions 524 to 776 of the family's 1533-position model. The record is from RNAcentral.
UACGGAGGGGGCGAGCGUUAUUCGGAAUUAUUGGGCGUAAAGCGCGCGCAGGCGGUUUCUUAAGUCUGAUGUGAAAGCCCACGGCUCAACCGUGGAGGGUCAUUGGAAACUGGGGAACUUGAGUGCAGAAGAGAAAAGCGGAAUUCCACGUGUAGCGGUGAAAUGCGUAGAGAUGUGGAGGAACACCAGUGGCGAAGGCGGCUUUUUGGUCUGUAACUGACGCUGAGGCGCGAAAGCGUGGGGAGCAAACAGG